AACGUAGGACGCAAGCGUUAUCCGGAGUUACUGGGCGUAAAGCGCGAGCAGGCGGCUCGUCAAGUGGGGUGUGAAAGCUCCCGGCUUAACCGGGAGAGGCCAUUCCAAACUGAUGGGCUGGAGGGCAGCAGAGGUGCGUGGAAUUCCGGGUGGAGUGGUGAAAUGCGUAGAGAUCCGGAGGAACACCAGAGGCGAAGGCGGCGCACUGGGCUGCUUCUGACGCUGAGCCGCGAAAGCCAGGGGAG
RNAcentral lists this ribosomal RNA (245 nucleotides) under uncultured bacterium. RNAcentral's name for it is "partial 16S ribosomal RNA". It matches the Rfam family "Bacterial small subunit ribosomal RNA", at positions 524 to 768 of the family's 1533-position model. The record is from RNAcentral.